AAGUCAGGCAACGAGCGAGACCCACGUCCACAGUUGCCAGCAUACCCUCCGGGGUGAUGGGUACACUGUGGAGACCGCCGCUGCUAAAGCGGAGGAAGGAGUGGGCAACGGUAGGUCAGUAUGCCCCGAAUCUCCCGGGGCUACACGCGGGCUACAAUGGUUGGUACAAUGGGCAUCUACCCCGAAAGGGGAAGGAAUCUCUUAAAGCCAAUCGUAGUUCGGAUUGAGGGCUGCAACUCGCCCUCAUGAAGCUGGAAUCCGUAGUAAUCGCGUUUCAACAGAACGCGGUGAAUACGUCCCUGCUCCUU
Molecule: ribosomal RNA, 308 nt
Filed under: uncultured Methanosaeta sp.
Lineage: Archaea; Methanobacteriati; Methanobacteriota; Methanomicrobia; Methanotrichales; Methanotrichaceae
Description: bacterial SSU rRNA
Rfam family: Archaeal small subunit ribosomal RNA
Source: RNAcentral